Molecule: ribosomal RNA, 1329 nt
Filed under: Pelecotoma fennica
Lineage: Eukaryota; Metazoa; Arthropoda; Insecta; Coleoptera; Ripiphoridae
Description: eukaryotic LSU rRNA
Rfam family: Eukaryotic large subunit ribosomal RNA
Source: RNAcentral
UAGGAUUCCCUUAGUAGCGGCGAGCGAACAGGGAAAAGCCCAGCACCGAAUCCCGUGGCCGAUACCGGACACUGGGAAAUGUGGUGUUUAGGAGGGUCCAUUAUCCCAAGAUUUUGCAAUGAGUCCAAGUCCUUCUUGAACGGGGCCACAACCCAUAGAGGGUGCCAGGCCCGUAGUGACCAUUGCUAAUUUUGGGAGGAUCUCUCCUUAGAGUCGGGUUGCUUGAGAGUGCAGCCCUAAGUGGGUGGUAAACUCCAUCUAAGGCUAAAUAUGACCACGAGACCGAUAGCGAACAAGUACCGUGAGGGAAAGUUGAAAAGAACUUUGAAGAGAGAGUUCAAUAGUACGUGAAACCGUUCAGGGGUAAACCUGAGAAGCCCGAAAGGUCGACAGGGGAGAUUCAGCGUUACUCAAUUUUGGCGGUAAGUUAUCGUGUGACAAAUAAUGUACGCAUUGUUUGCAUCGUUAAUUUAUCCGAACCAAAGUCGAAAGCGUGCACUUCUCCCCCAGUAGGACGUCGUGAUCCGUUGGGUGUCGGUCUAAGGCCCAUGGUGGAGCCCGUCUGGACGGUAACCCCGUUUUUCCGGACGAACCCAUGGUGUUUCCCGACCGACUCGCUCGACGGUAUAUAGAUGGCGCAAGGCCGCUAAUUUCAAAAAAAUUAGCGUCUGGCCUGUAGCAAGCGCGUUCGUCUGUUGGCAAUCGGACCUAGUGCCGAUUCUGACAACGAAUGGCUGUUGGCUGCAUGUGUCUCAGACAGACCUUGUUAUGAAACGCUGAUCUACGACGCUAUAGCUUUGGGUACUUUCAGGACCCGUCUUGAAACACGGACCAAGGAGUCUAGCAUGUACGCAAGUCAUUGGGAUAUGACUAAACCUAAAGGCAUAAUGAAAGUAAAAGUUCAUCUUGCAUGAACUAAGGGAAGAUGAGUUUAAAUUACGAUUUUUAUUCCGCACUCCCGGGGCGUCUCAUUCUCAUUGCGAGAAGAGGCGCACCAAGAGCGUACACGCUGGGACCCGAAAGAUGGUGAACUAUGCCUGGUCAGGACGAAGUCAGGGGAAACCCUGAUGGAGGUCCGUAGCGAUUCUGACGUGCAAAUCGAUCGUCGGAACUGGGUAUAGGGGCGAAAGACUAAUCGAACCAUCUAGUAGCUGGUUCCCUCCGAAGUUUCCCUCAGGAUAGCUGGCGCUCAUUGCGUACGAGUUUCAUCCGGUAAAGCGAAUGAUUAGAGGCAUUGGGGUCGAAACGGCCUCAACCUAUUCUCAAACUUUAAAUGGGUGAGAUCUCCGGCUUGCUCGAACUUAUGAAGCCGCGAGACUCGAAUCAGAG